This 497-nucleotide ribosomal RNA is filed under the name uncultured bacterium. RNAcentral describes it as "partial 16S ribosomal RNA". It matches the Rfam family "Bacterial small subunit ribosomal RNA", at positions 28 to 507 of the family's 1533-position model. The record is from RNAcentral.
GAUGAACGCUGGCGGCGUGCCUAAUACAUGCAAGUCGAGCGAACGGACGAGAAGCUUGCUUUUCUGAUGUUAGCGGCGGACGGGUGAGUAACACGUGGAUAACCUACCUAUAAGACUGGGAUAACUUCGGGAAACCGGAGCUAAUACCGGAUAAUAUUUCGAACCGCAUGGUUCAAAAGUGAAGGACGGUCUUGCUGUCACUUAUAGAUGGAUCCGCGCUGCAUUAGCUAGUUGGUAAGGUAACGGCUUACCAAGGCAACGAUGCAUAGCCGACCUGAGAGGGUGAUCGGCCACACUGGAACUGAGACACGGUCCAGACUCCUACGGGAGGCAGCAGUAGGGAAUCUUCCGCAAUGGGCGAAAGCCUGACGGAGCAACGCCGCGUGAGUGAUGAAGGUCUUCGGAUCGUAAAACUCUGUUAUUAGGGAAGAACAUAUGUGUAAGUAACUGUGCACAUCUUGACGGUACCUAAUCAGAAAGCCACGGCUAACUACGUG